RNAcentral lists this ribosomal RNA (253 nucleotides) under uncultured bacterium. RNAcentral describes it as "partial 16S ribosomal RNA". It matches the Rfam family "Bacterial small subunit ribosomal RNA", at positions 524 to 776 of the family's 1533-position model. The record is from RNAcentral.
UACGUAGGGCGCAAGCGUUGUCCGGAAUUAUUGGGCGUAAAGAGCUCGUAGGCGGCUUGUCACGUCGGGUGUGAAAGCCCGGGGCUCAACCCCGGGAGGCGGGUGGAUACUGCUCAGCUCGAGUCCGGAAGAGGAGUGUGGAAUUCCUGGUGUAGCGGUGAAAUGCGCAGAUAUCAGGAGGAACACCAAUGGCGAAGGCAGCACUCUGGGACGGUACUGACGCUGAGACGCGAAAGCGUGGGGAGCAAACAGG